GAGAACCCGCCCCCUUUGCCGGAACUAUCGCAUCUUCCAACGGAAAUCUAGUUGCCAAAAGAGGUGGAAAUGCGUCAUUGGCUAGAGAUCCCAUCAGAUCUGGAGCUGCUGGCCUACGCCACAGCCACAGCAACACCAGAUCCAAGCCGGUUCUGCGACCUACACCACAGCUCACAGCAACGCUGGAUCCUUAACCCACUGAGCGAGGCCAGGGACCGACCCCUCGUCCUCAGGGAAUGCUAGUCAGGUUCAUUACCGCUGAGCCAUGACGGGACCUCCUGCAUUUAGAUUUUUAGCGAACAUCUACUUCGCGCCUCACCUCAAGUCAGUUGCUGGGGAGAAGCAGAAAGGAGGCGUGGGCUGGGCUAGUGCGCAGGUGGACUCAGCCCACCCCUAGUGAGGCUCCCUGCCUGGACUUCUGGGAGAGGCUUGAAUGAGCCUUGAAGGAGAUACCUGACUAUCAAAGGAGGGGGCGAAACAGCAUCCCGAGCCAAGGAAAUGACAUUGUGAAAGCCUCCAAGAUGUUUGGGGUUCAUGACUCCUUGGCACAGUUAAGGCCUGGGGUCCACGGGACAGUCGGGGGAGAGAUGAAGUGAUGAGGCCGAAACCAGAGCAGCGGCUGACUGCACCUCAGGAGUCUGCGGGGGAAGGACUUUGUGGACGUGGCGAUUAUCUCAACUGUUUGUGGGGCAAUCACAGGAGCAUCUGGGGAGAAAACUGGCCCCAGAAGGAAAAGGGCUGCAGGCGGGAAGACCAGAAAGGAUGCUGUUCAGAUGGCCCAGGUGAAAGCCAGUGAGGGCCUAGACUGAGCAGACGUGGUGGGAUGGAGGGGCCCCAGGAGACAGCUCUGGAUUUGGCAGUUGCGGGGGAGGAGCUAGAACAUUGUGCUUUUACAAGAGUGGGUUAUUUAUCCAAAAACAAACAAAACAAAACAACAGCAACAACAGGGCAUUGCCGCAAGCUGUGGUGUAGGCUGCAGAUGUGGCUCGGAUCCAGCGUGGCUGUGGCUGUGCCGUAAGCCAGCAGCUGCAGCUCCGAUUCGAGCCCAGGAACUUCCAUAUGCCUCAGGUGGGGCCCUAGAAAAGGACAGAAAAAAAAAAAAAA
Molecule: long non-coding RNA, 1104 nt
Filed under: Sus scrofa (pig)
Lineage: Eukaryota; Metazoa; Chordata; Mammalia; Artiodactyla; Suidae
Description: lncRNA (ENSSSCG00055029897.1)
Source: RNAcentral